Small nuclear RNA from Balaenoptera musculus (blue whale), 104 nucleotides. The record is from Ensembl. NCBI's taxonomy places the organism in Eukaryota, Metazoa, Chordata, Mammalia, Artiodactyla, Balaenopteridae.
AUAAUAAGAGCAGCAUGUACACUAAAAUUGGAAGGAUACAGAGAAGAUUAGCAUGGCCCCUGCACAAGAGUGACAUGCAAAUUUGCGAAGCGUUCCAUAUUUUU